UUGUUCUCGUCCUGACGCUGGGUGGCACUGUUGUGCGGUCCCGAUCUUGGAUGAACAAAGACUGAGUGUGGCCCUAAUCCCUGCUUCCUGAAACUCACCUGUAGUCCAAGAUAGAGUAGGGGAAACACGUUUGCGUCUCUAGUAAAAUGAGAUACGUAGAUAACGAAGCAGGCAAACCUCGCGAUUAUGUAAAAGUCAGUCGGUUUCCCGGUGACACAAGCUGAGCCUGAAAUCUUUUUCGAUUUAGAGAUCAGAUUCAACACUCAGGCCCCUAAAAUAGUCCUUUUAGGGGUGCUUUUUCUUUUAACAACCUCAGAAUAAUCCACAAAGACAUGCGAUCUUAUGUACAAUAUAGAGGGACUAUAGACAUCCUGGUUUAAUUCUUCUCGGUGAUGCUACGGAAAUCCAGCCCUGUCUUCCCUUGAGUUACCUAUGCCAACCUGUUCCAGAGAAACUGUUUCUGUAGUGUCCCUCAGCUGCCAAGUUUCCGUGUCACCAGAGGCGACUCACCAUCAUCUAUUUCCAAAACAGCAGAUCCAUUAACUGGCCAGAGACCGUUUACUGUGUCAUUUGGAGCUACACAUAUAAUAUCUCAACUCCAAAGAGAGAAGAGAAGGAAGAAAGGAUCUCAAGACCCCAAAGCAAAAGGCCUGUGUCUUGGUCAGUGGGUGCCCUCCUCUCUGUCAUGCACUAAUAGAGCUCUAGAAAGGCUCAGGAGAUGGACUGAGGCAGGGGCAUGACCAGAGAAUGUCAGCAACAGGCUGUGAGAAGGGCACAAAUGUCCCUUGAUGGUAACAGGAUUCCUUGCACAGACUGGGAGCAGCAUCUUCUCAUCUCAGGAGGUGCUUUGGAGCAACCCGGGGCCUGGCACAUGGUAGGCAAGUGUUCUACCACCAAGCUACAUCCCUGGCCAGAUUUUAUUAUUUAUGCUGUAUUGUGACCAUUUUACCUAGCCAGGGUGGUGAUUCAUGGAAGAUGUCAACUGGAGGUUAGGGCUAUAGGACAAUUUACUGCCACUUCUGCCUCCUUUUAGGAUAACAACGCUCGGGGGAACAUGACUUUUUCUCUAAAUUAUCAGCCAUCUAAGAUAGCUGCCGUACCACACACCCAUUUCUCAGCCACUGCCCUCCACGUAUCUGGACACCGCAGUACUCACGCCUGAAGCCAAGAGUAGCCACUCUGCCUUGUCUGGCCUUGCUUCAUCUUUUCUCGCCCACGCCGCCCUGAGACUUGGACCUGCUAGACCUGAACCCAACACCACACCUUAUAUCUUAGUUACUUUUCUACUAUCCUAAUAAAACACCAUGA
Long non-coding RNA from Mesocricetus auratus (golden hamster), 1308 nucleotides. RefSeq lists it as uncharacterized. The record is from RefSeq and is a predicted model, not a curated record. The transcript has 5 exons. NCBI's taxonomy places the organism in Eukaryota, Metazoa, Chordata, Mammalia, Rodentia, Cricetidae.